RNAcentral lists this transfer RNA (69 nucleotides) under Semnornis frantzii. RNAcentral describes it as "tRNA-Ala". It matches the Rfam family "tRNA". From Rfam's summary of the family: Transfer RNA (tRNA) molecules are approximately 80 nucleotides in length. Their secondary structure includes four short double-helical elements and three loops (D, anti-codon, and T loops). Further hydrogen bonds mediate the characteristic L-shaped molecular structure. tRNAs have two regions of fundamental functional importance: the anti-codon, which is responsible for specific mRNA codon recognition, and the 3' end, to which the tRNAs corresponding amino acid is attached (by aminoacyl-tRNA synthetases). tRNAs cope with the degeneracy of the genetic code in two manners: having more than one tRNA (with a specific anti-codon) for a particular amino acid; and 'wobble' base-pairing, i.e. permitting non-standard base-pairing at the 3rd anti-codon position. Lineage: Eukaryota; Metazoa; Chordata; Aves; Piciformes; Ramphastidae. The record is from RNAcentral.
AAGGCUCUAGCUUAAUUAAAGUGUCUGGGUUGCAUUCAGAUGAUGUAGGGUAGAAUCCUACGGGCUUUA